This 498-nucleotide long non-coding RNA is filed under the name Manihot esculenta (cassava). Its description in RNAcentral is "long non-coding RNA (MESC_LNC012855)". Lineage: Eukaryota; Viridiplantae; Streptophyta; Magnoliopsida; Malpighiales; Euphorbiaceae. The record is from RNAcentral.
UUGAGAAAAAGAAUUCAUUUCCUUUGAAUUUCUUCAAAAUUUAGCAUUCCAAACAAGGGUUAAAAGCAAUAGCUGAAGGAAAACAUACAAAAGUCUAAUAAGAAAAAGGAAGACCAAUUGAAGCUCACAUACCGUAGACACCACCUAAGAAAAAUCUAGUAGAGCAUAGGAACCUUCAUAGCCCAUUAGUGAAGCACUACAUCCCAAGAAGAUGUCCAAGCUAAAUGAAAGAACACUAGUAGAGCUCAUCGGCGACUAAUUUCAUGCCUUAAGGGUUAUCAGCACACAAACUUUAAGCACUUGAGAUGCCUAAUGUCAAGCCAAAUAGAAGAAGUCUCUAAAGAGCGAAAAACCAGAUCUAAGCCUAUUGAAUCUCAAGGGACGAUCUCAACUACAGCCAUAGCUUCCGAUGGAAGCCAAUAAAAAAUAUAGAUCCAAAACUUGAAACGGAAACCCAUUACUUUUAGAGAGAAAAUGAAAAAAUCAAGAGAAAACGAG